CCUCCAGUUCCCAAAUCAUCCUCCCAACCCUGCCCUAGACUUGCUCCACUAAAGAAAGGAUCACCUCACUUAACCUUUUGCCUGCACAAGCAUUGAAUAAACACUCUGAAGCACAGCCAUCAUUAUACACUGUCUAGUUGUUAGUUGUAGGAUUAUUUUUUUGUAAGAAUUCAGUAAAUUAACUCAGUAUUAUCAGUGUUGCAGAAAAGCUAUACAAGGAGAAUAAGAAGAACACACUUAAAAGGUACAAAGCAGUAAACAGGCAUUAGUUAAGAGCUAUCACAAAAGAGAAAUGUGAAAAUUUUCUUUCCUUUACAGUGAUGAAGAUCUGUCCUUGCUGUUUUCUCUGUGAUUUCCGAAGGUAAAUACUAUACUGAUUGUUCUUUUUGCUG
Oxyura jamaicensis (ruddy duck) is the source of this 392-nucleotide long non-coding RNA. RefSeq lists it as uncharacterized. NCBI's taxonomy places the organism in Eukaryota, Metazoa, Chordata, Aves, Anseriformes, Anatidae. The record is from RefSeq and is a predicted model, not a curated record. The transcript is spliced from 2 exons.